Molecule: long non-coding RNA, 387 nt
Filed under: Rattus norvegicus (Norway rat)
Lineage: Eukaryota; Metazoa; Chordata; Mammalia; Rodentia; Muridae
Description: long non-coding RNA NONRATT007604
Source: RNAcentral
CCCCGGACGAGGUCCGAACGAGCGAGCGAGUGCGGACGCUACGGCCCUCGGGAGAACCGAGCCGUUUAGCAGGCCUGAUGGAAGAGAGACGAUGGCCGGCUGCGGGGCUGAGGUCUGGAGGUCAGCACUGGGCGGAACUCGCCUCCGAGCACCACGACUCCAGGCGCCCGACCUCCUGGCGGAACGGGUAGCGGUUCCGGAUUCGGAUCCGUGGGGUGCACCCUGGUCGCCUGCGCCUCCUCUCCUUCUGCCUCAGUUUCCCGGGGCGCCGUUACGCCGUACGCAGCGCGGAGUCAGCCCCAGUACGAGCGGAAGCUCACCUGCCGGUCCCCGUGCGCUGCCACUGCCACGCUCCCUGCAAGUUUGCAGGGAUUGCCCCAUCCCUGU